AGGACGAACGCUGGCGGCGUGCUUAACACAUGCAAGUCGAACGGUAAGGCCCUUCGGGGUACACGAGUGGCGAACGGGUGAGUAACACGUGGGUGAUCUGCCCUGCACUUCGGGAUAAGCUUGGGAAACUGGGUCUAAUACCGGAUAUGACUACGAAUCGCAUGGUUUGUGGUGGAAAGCUUUUGCGGUGUGGGAUGGGCCCGCGGCCUAUCAGCUUGUUGGUGGGGUGAUGGCCCACCAAGGCGACGACGGGUA
RNAcentral lists this ribosomal RNA (255 nucleotides) under uncultured bacterium. RNAcentral's name for it is "partial small subunit ribosomal RNA". It matches the Rfam family "Bacterial small subunit ribosomal RNA", at positions 26 to 285 of the family's 1533-position model. The record is from RNAcentral.